GGGGCUGAACGGUUUCGACUGCGUACGUUGAGUCAGGGGAAGCGUGUCGGUGCAGGCAAGAGACCACCGUAAGCGUCGAUGCAACCAAUUAAGCGCCGAUUCCAAUCAGCGCGACUACGCUCUCGCUGCCUAAGUAGCGAAGCGUGUCUGUCAGUCCGAUCUCGCCCUCGGGUCGGGUACUGGCAUCAGCUAGAGGGCUUCACCGCACGGCUCGGUCACGGAGUCGGACGGGACAUCAAACAGUGACUGGGAUCGUCAUCACGGCUUGUUCGCGAGACCGGGAGAUCCAAGUAGAGGCAUAGCGAACUGCACACGGAGAAGCCCAGGCGAAGCUGCGUAGGACCCGGGUUCAAUUCCCGGCAGCUCCACGA
Rhodococcus sp. RD6.2 is the source of this 371-nucleotide non-coding RNA. It matches the Rfam family "transfer-messenger RNA". From Rfam's summary of the family: Bacterial tmRNA, also known as 10Sa RNA or SsrA, is named for its dual tRNA and mRNA-like properties. The record is from Rfam. Lineage: Bacteria; Bacillati; Actinomycetota; Actinomycetes; Mycobacteriales; Nocardiaceae.